GUGCUUGCUUCGGCAGCAUACAUACUAAAAUCAGAACGAUACGGAGAAGAUUAGCACGGCCCCUGUGCAAGGAUGAUGUGCAAAUUCAUGAAGCAUUCUAUAUUUUU
Molecule: small nuclear RNA, 107 nt
Organism: Gorilla gorilla gorilla (western lowland gorilla)
Lineage: Eukaryota; Metazoa; Chordata; Mammalia; Primates; Hominidae
Source: Ensembl